This 23-nucleotide non-coding RNA is filed under the name Arabidopsis thaliana (thale cress). The record is from RNAcentral. Lineage: Eukaryota; Viridiplantae; Streptophyta; Magnoliopsida; Brassicales; Brassicaceae.
ACAAGCGAGAAAAACAACCGUCA